Molecule: ribosomal RNA, 492 nt
Filed under: uncultured bacterium
Lineage: Bacteria
Description: partial 16S ribosomal RNA
Rfam family: Bacterial small subunit ribosomal RNA
Source: RNAcentral
AGUGAACGCUGGCGGUAGGCCUAACACAUGCAAGUCGAACGGCAGCACAGUAAGAGCUUGCUCUUACGGGUGGCGAGUGGCGGACGGGUGAGGAAUACAUCGGAAUCUACUUUUUCGUGGGGGAUAACGUAGGGAAACUUACGCUAAUACCGCAUACGACCUACGGGUGAAAGCAGGGGAUCUUCGGACCUUGCGCGAUUGAAUGAGCCGAUGUCGGAUUAGCUAGUUGGCGGGGUAAAGGCCCACCAAGGCGACGAUCCGUAGCUGGUCUGAGAGGAUGAUCAGCGACACUGGAACUGAGACACGGUCCAGACUCCUACGGGAGGCAGCAGUGGGGAAUAUUGGACAAUGGGCGGAAGCCUGAUCCAGCCAUACCGGGUGGGUGAAGAAGGCCUUCGGGCUGUAAAGCCCUUUUGUUGGGAAAGAAAAGCAGCAGGUUAAUACCCCGCUGUUCUGACGGUACCCAAAGAAUAAGCACCGGCUAACUUCGUG